Molecule: long non-coding RNA, 1538 nt
Filed under: Triticum aestivum (bread wheat)
Lineage: Eukaryota; Viridiplantae; Streptophyta; Magnoliopsida; Poales; Poaceae
Description: long non-coding RNA (TAES_LNC012334)
Source: RNAcentral
UAAUAGGCUCUUGAUGCAUGCAGGGGAGCACAAACUUGUGCCUUUUUCUCGUUGAACGAGAAUACUCUCCCAGCAAUCCAACUGAUCCCAAAUAAACCGAUGCUUGUUCAGACAUAAAAGAAGCUUCACCUUCUAGGCCCUCCACUUUGUCAGAUUGCAGCAAUACAGAGGCUGCUACAUUGAUUAAACAAGUCAAAGAUCAGAUAUUGCUGAUUCUUCAUGUAAGAUGAAAUUACAAGAAACUAACUGAAUUAAAAAUUACACCAUCAUCGCGGAAAGGGGAUUAGAGUAUCACACAGUAUCAAUUCAUGGGUCAGUUGCUGGCAGAAUUGUAGAAAGGAGACUACUAAAUCUCUUAAUGAUAAAAUCAGGAGCCCCAUAUAAACAGUCUAAACAGCACAUGUGUGACCAACAUCAACAAAGUCAGGUUGUCCUAAGAGGCUAAGAUAUUUGUAUCAACUGGCAUAGCUCCAUGCAAAUUACAGAAUUAGUACAUCAAAAACAAAAAUAACCAGCAUGUUGCCAACAGUCUAGACAGCACAGCAUGACCAACACCAACAAAGUCAAGUUGUCCAAAGAGGGUAAGAUAUUUGAAUGUUCAAUGCAAAUUACACAAAAACAACCAGCAAGUUCACAAGGGAUGGUGAAGAUGAGUAGACUAAACUUUUGGGGCAACUCCUGUUCAGGUGUCCAAACGACAGCAGAGGUCUACUCUAGUUUUAGGGCACACAGCCAUUUACUCUUGAUCACGUGCUAUGUCAAGGCAUAAUGACAAACUCAUAUUUGAUUAUUACAAGUACUGACACUGAAUAUCAUAUCUCAAGGAGAUGGAUCAGAAAUAUUGUGCAUGCAACAUUAGUAUACAAAGCUGAUAGGGAAACUUAUAAUGAAGAUAGCAGUCUAGAACAGAGAAACAAAGAUCACAAUAUCUACACCUUUUAAGUGCCCACCAACAAUAUAAGUAACUGGUGUACACAGCUGAAGUACAAACUGACUAGGGACAAUCUCUACUAUUGCAUGCAGACACAGCUGAAGUACAAACUGACAACAAAAUAAACAGAGCAAUCGCACACGUUACAUUCAUCUAACCUUGCCUCACGAUAUUACCCAAAACUUGAUGUAUCAGUUGGUGCUCUAGCAACUAAAAAGACGAAAUCAAGAACAGAGAUGCACCUAAAUAUGUAUCUCAUAACUAGCAUAUGAUGAACCCGCAACAGAGAAACUGAUACACAAAGCACAGACUAUUCUGGAACAUCGAAAUAUGGAUACUGAUCCGAUAUGUGAAGUCACAAACCACUAGGCAUAUGCCUCCAUCAAUCAGUGCACACAGAACAGGAUUGUAAAUUUGUGAUGCCCAUCCACCCACAAACAUGGCGUUCGCUAGAGUUUUAUACUUGGAUCCUAUCUAUCUACUUGUGUAUCUGCGUCGCACGCUAGCUUACCAACAAAACAAGAUCGGAGGGGAGGCGGCCGGCGGAUCUGGGAGGCGGCGGGACGAGAUAGGCGGAUCCGGAUGGAACGGACGGAGCGUCGGGCGG